UACAGAGGUCCCGAGCGUUAGGCGGAAUCACUGGGCUUAAAGCGUGUGUAGGCGGAUGCCUAAGUACCUUGUGAAAUCCCACGGCUCACCCGUGGAACUGCUUGGUAUACUGGGUGUCUUGAGCCACUUAGGGGCUACCGGAACAAAUGGUGGAGCGGUGAAAUGCGUAGAUAUCAUUUGGAACGCCAAUGGUGAAAACAGGUAGCUGGGAGUGUGCUGACGCUGAGACACGAAAGCCAGGGGAGCAAACGGG
This 253-nucleotide ribosomal RNA is filed under the name uncultured bacterium. Its description in RNAcentral is "partial 16S ribosomal RNA". It matches the Rfam family "Bacterial small subunit ribosomal RNA", at positions 524 to 776 of the family's 1533-position model. The record is from RNAcentral.